Molecule: ribosomal RNA, 620 nt
Filed under: uncultured bacterium
Lineage: Bacteria
Description: bacterial SSU rRNA
Rfam family: Bacterial small subunit ribosomal RNA
Source: RNAcentral
UCGAGUGAAGAAAGAAGUGGACAGCGGCGAAAGGGAGAGUAACGAGUAGAUUACGUACCUGAGGGUUCAGGAUAGCGGGGGGAAACCGCCGGUAAUACUGAAUAAUGUUUCCGAACCAAAGAUUUAUCGCCCUCGGAGCGGUUUGCUUACUAUUAGUUUGUUGGUGGGGUAAAGGCCUACCAAGGCUAAGAUGGUUAGCGGGUGUGAGAGCAUGGCCCGUCUCACUGGGACUGAGACACUGCCCAGACACCUACGGGUGGCUGCAGUCGAGAAUCUUCCGCAAUGGGCGAAAGCCUGACGGAGCGACGCCGCGUGCGGGAUGAAGGCCUUCGGGUUGUAAACCGCUGUCAGAGGGGAGGAAAUUUUGACCGAUCCUCAGAGGAAGCACAGGCUAAGUUCGUGCCAGCAGCCGCGGUAAUACGAACUGUGCGAACGUUAUUCGGAAUCACUGGGCUUAAAGGGUGCGUAGGCGGCUAUGAAGGUCAGGUGUGAAAUCCCACGGCUCAACCGUGGAACUGCGCCUGAAACCACAUAGCUUGAGGAAGUCAGAGGUAAGCGGAACUGAUGGUGGAGCGGUGAAAUGCGUUGAUAUCAUCAGGAACACCGGUGGCGAAAGCGGC